CCCUCCCUCUGGCGGCAGGCCUAACACAUGCAAGUCGAGCGCCCUUUCGGGGGAGCGGCGGACGGGUGAGUAACGCGUGGGAAUAUGCCCUUCUCUACGGAAUAGCCUCGGGAAACUGAGAGUAAUACCGUAUACGCCCUGUGGGGGAAAGAUUUAUCGGGGAAGGAUUAGCCCGCGUUGGAUUAGGUAGUUGGUGGGGUAAUGGCCUACCAAGCCGACGAUCCAUAGCUGGUUUGAGAGGAUGAUCAGCCACACUGGGACUGAGACACGGCCCAGACUCCUACGGGAGGCAGCAGUGGGGAAUCUUAGACAAUGGGGGCAACCCUGAUCUAGCCAUGCCGCGUGAGUGAUGAAGGCCUUAGGGUUGUAAAGCUCUUUCAGCUGGGAAGAUAAUGACGGUACCAGCAGAAGAAGCCCCGGCUAACUCCGUG
RNAcentral lists this ribosomal RNA (431 nucleotides) under uncultured bacterium. RNAcentral describes it as "partial 16S ribosomal RNA". It matches the Rfam family "Bacterial small subunit ribosomal RNA", at positions 36 to 507 of the family's 1533-position model. The record is from RNAcentral.